RNAcentral lists this long non-coding RNA (208 nucleotides) under Lathyrus oleraceus (garden pea). RNAcentral describes it as "Pisum sativum (pea) long non-coding RNA (PSAT_LNC002708)". The record is from RNAcentral. Lineage: Eukaryota; Viridiplantae; Streptophyta; Magnoliopsida; Fabales; Fabaceae.
AGAGUUGCACCAAACAGAGAAUCACAUGAAUCAUGCCAUUAAAGUUCACAAAAAGCUCACAAAAAGCAACCAAGGGUAGGAGGCCUAAACCUCUUGUCAAACAAAUGCAUUAAAAGGGUAUCAAAACCCAAAGUCAGGGGGCAAGGAUCCACACAUCAAGACAUGACAUACAUACUAAAACAUGUGCCCACAUGCAAAACCUAACGAU